CCUACGGGUGGCUGCAGUGAGGAAUCUUCCACAAUGGGCGAAAGCCUGAUGGAGCAACGCCGCGUGCAGGAUGAAGGCCUUCGGGUCGUAAACUGCUUUUAUGAGUGAAGAAUAUGACGGUAACUCAUGAAUAAGCACCGGCUAACUACGUGCCAGCAGCCGCGGUCAUACGUAGGGUGCAAGCAUUAUCCGGAGUGACUGGGCGUAAAGAGUUGCGUAGGUGGUUCGUAAAGUGAAUAGUGAAAUCUGGUGGCUCAACCAUACAGGCUAUUAUU
RNAcentral lists this ribosomal RNA (275 nucleotides) under uncultured bacterium. RNAcentral's name for it is "partial 16S ribosomal RNA". It matches the Rfam family "Bacterial small subunit ribosomal RNA", at positions 338 to 628 of the family's 1533-position model. The record is from RNAcentral.